Molecule: long non-coding RNA, 705 nt
Organism: Oncorhynchus tshawytscha (Chinook salmon)
Lineage: Eukaryota; Metazoa; Chordata; Actinopteri; Salmoniformes; Salmonidae
Source: Ensembl
GUUUUGUUGUAGUCUCUGUUAUUGGUAAUGGUGAGAGGUUAGCAUGUUUUGUUGUAGCCUCUGUUAUUGGUAAUGGUGAGAGGUUAGCAUGUUUUGUUGUAGCCUCUGUUAUUGGUAAUGGUGAGAGGUUAGCAUGUUUUGUUGUAGCCUCUGUUAUUGGUAAUGGUGAGAGGUUAGCAUGUUUUGUUGUAGCCUCUGUUAUUGGUAAUGGUGAGAGGUUAGCAUGUUUUGUUGUAGUCUCUGUUAUUGGUAAUGGUGAGAGGUUAGCAUGUUUUGUUGUAGCCUCUGUUAUUGGUAAUGGUGAGAGGUUAGCAUGUUUUGUUGUAGCCUCUGUUAUUGGUAAUGGUGAGAGGUUAGCAUGUUUUGUUGUAGCCCUUGUUAACACUAAUAAUACUAUGCAAUGAUAAUAUUUGCAUUUUUCACUAUAAGCAACAGUGGGAUUUCUUCCAUUGACGGAGAGGCGGACCAAAGCGCAGCGUGGUUGUUUUGAUUCAUGUUUGAAUAAAUCACUUCACAUGAACAAACUAACAAAAACAAGAACCGUGAAAACCCAAAACAGCCCUAUCUGGUGCAAAACACAGAGACAGGAACAAUCACCCACAAACAGUCCUAUCUGGUGCAAAACACAGAGACAGGAACAAUCACCCACAAACAGUCCUAUCUGGUGCAAAACACAGAGACAGGAACAAUCACCCACAAACAGCC